This 58-nucleotide microRNA precursor is filed under the name Chlorocebus sabaeus (green monkey). RNAcentral's name for it is "miRNA (ENSCSAG00000020449.1)". The record is from RNAcentral. Lineage: Eukaryota; Metazoa; Chordata; Mammalia; Primates; Cercopithecidae.
CUCCAGGGAGACAGUGUUCGAGGCCCCUGCCAUGGCCUCCCUGCCCGCCUCUCUGCAG